GACGAACGCUGGCGGCGUGCUUAACACAUGCAAGUCGAACGGAAAGGCCCUGCUUUUGUGGGGUGCUCGAGUGGCGAACGGGUGAGUAACACGUGAGUAACCUGCCCUUGACUUUGGGAUAACUUCAGGAAACUGGGGCUAAUACCGGAUAGGAGCUCCUGCUGCAUGGUGGGGGUUGGAAAGUUUCGGCGGUUGGGGAUGGACUCGCGGCUUAUCAGCUUGUUGGUGGGGUAGUGGCUUACCAAGGCUUUGACGGGUAGCCGGCCUGAGAGGGUGACCGGCCACAUUGGGACUGAGAUACGGCCCAGACUCCUACGGGAGGCAGCAGUGGGGAAUAUUGCACAAUGGGCUGAAGCCUGAUGUAGCAACGCCGCGUGCGGGAUGACGGCCUUCGGGUUGUAAACCGCUUUCGCCUGUGACGAAGCGUGAGUGACGGUAAUGGGUAAAGAAGCACCGGCUAACUACGUG
This 468-nucleotide ribosomal RNA is filed under the name uncultured bacterium. RNAcentral describes it as "partial 16S ribosomal RNA". It matches the Rfam family "Bacterial small subunit ribosomal RNA", at positions 28 to 507 of the family's 1533-position model. The record is from RNAcentral.